ACAGACGCUACACGAGACCGCAGGAGACGGCGUUGGACGGGGAGAAUAUCAUUGGGCGGACGGAUGUCACUUCCACUCGUCAUCAAAAGCAUGCCGUGCCUACGUCAGGGAGCUGUGCCUGCUUCAUGAAGAUCUUCCACAGUGUGCUGUGACCUGGGAAGUUACCAUGCACCUGAACAUGGCUUUCAUCACCUGGAUUAGUUGUUGGACAGAGGAGCAGCCAGGACGUCCUGCCCUUUCCAAGCCGGUGGCGUCCAGCAGUGAAAGAAGAUGCGAUAUCUGGGCAGCCUGUAUUCAUUCUGUGGGCAAGUUAAUAAACCAUUUUAUUUUGA
Ixodes scapularis (black-legged tick) is the source of this 332-nucleotide long non-coding RNA. RefSeq lists it as uncharacterized. The transcript is spliced from 3 exons. Lineage: Eukaryota; Metazoa; Arthropoda; Arachnida; Ixodida; Ixodidae. The record is from RefSeq and is a predicted model, not a curated record.